This 89-nucleotide transfer RNA is filed under the name Pseudomonadales bacterium. RNAcentral describes it as "tRNA-Leu". It matches the Rfam family "tRNA". Rfam says of the family: Transfer RNA (tRNA) molecules are approximately 80 nucleotides in length. Their secondary structure includes four short double-helical elements and three loops (D, anti-codon, and T loops). Further hydrogen bonds mediate the characteristic L-shaped molecular structure. tRNAs have two regions of fundamental functional importance: the anti-codon, which is responsible for specific mRNA codon recognition, and the 3' end, to which the tRNAs corresponding amino acid is attached (by aminoacyl-tRNA synthetases). tRNAs cope with the degeneracy of the genetic code in two manners: having more than one tRNA (with a specific anti-codon) for a particular amino acid; and 'wobble' base-pairing, i.e. permitting non-standard base-pairing at the 3rd anti-codon position. The record is from RNAcentral. Lineage: Bacteria; Pseudomonadati; Pseudomonadota; Gammaproteobacteria; Pseudomonadales.
GCCCGGGUGGUGAAAUUGGUAGACACAGGAGACUUAAAAUCUCCCGCUGCUAACGCGGCGUGCCGGUUCGAUUCCGGCCUCGGGCACCA